AUGUUUAAUUCUCACGCUGUAAGGAAUGAACAAAUCGAAUUGAAACGGGUGGUCAGCAAACACACGGCACGUACGUCCGUGGCUGCCGAAACAAGACACAAGCACACGAGUGCCAUGCACUCUGCACUGCCCUCACCGGGCCGCGACGCCCCCCGGCCCUCCGGAUGUGCGCGCAUAUCAGCCGCGGCAGCCAUUUUGGGCGUGGCAUCCGCGCGAGUAGGGGUUGGCCUCCUCCGGCUUAUACCCCACACCCGUCGCCUUGAGCACGCGCGCCGUGGUGGUCUCCGGCUGCGUCGCUUCCGCCGCCGUCGCGUGGGCCUCCUGCAGGCCCGCCAUCAGCAGGCAGCCGGCCAGCAGCAGGGCCGCCAGCCCCAGACGCACGCGCAGCGCCUUGCUCUCCAUGAACGACCAGAGAUCUAUCAGUGUAGCUACUAG
This 435-nucleotide ribosomal RNA is filed under the name Triticum aestivum (bread wheat). RNAcentral's name for it is "partial small subunit ribosomal RNA". The record is from RNAcentral. Lineage: Eukaryota; Viridiplantae; Streptophyta; Magnoliopsida; Poales; Poaceae.